This 896-nucleotide ribosomal RNA is filed under the name Colletotrichum gloeosporioides. RNAcentral describes it as "LSU rRNA". It matches the Rfam family "Eukaryotic large subunit ribosomal RNA", at positions 36 to 963 of the family's 3401-position model. Lineage: Eukaryota; Fungi; Ascomycota; Sordariomycetes; Glomerellales; Glomerellaceae. The record is from RNAcentral.
UAGCAUAUCAAUAAGCGGAGGAAAAGAAACCAACAGGGAUUGCCUCAGUAACGGCGAGUGAAGCGGCAACAGCUCAAAUUUGAAAUCUGGCCCUAGGCCCGAGUUGUAAUUUGCAGAGGAUGCUUUUGGUGCGGUGCCUUCCAAGUUCCCUAGAACGGGACGCCAGAGAGGGUGAGAGCCCCGUACAGUUGGACACCAAGCCUUUGUAAAGCUCCUUCGACGAGUCGAGUAGUUUGGGAAUGCUGCUCAAAAUGGGAGGUAUAUUUCUUCUAAAGCUAAAUACCGGCCAGAGACCGAUAGCGCACAAGUAGAGUGAUCGAAAGAUGAAAAGCACUUUGAAAAGAGGGUUAAACAGCACGUGAAAUUGUUAAAAGGGAAGCGCUUGUGACCAGACUUGCGUCCGGUGAAUCACCCAGCUCUCGCGGCUGGGGCACUUCGCCGGCUCAGGCCAGCAUCAGCUCGCUGUCGGGGACAAAAGCUUCAGGAACGUAGCUCUCUUCGGGGAGUGUUAUAGCCUGUUGCAUAAUACCCUUCGGCGGGCUGAGGUACGCGCUCCGCAAGGAUGCUGGCAUAAUGGUCAUCAGCGACCCGUCUUGAAACACGGACCAAGGAGUCAACCUUAUGUGCGAGUGUUCGGGUGUCAAACCCCUACGCGUAAUGAAAGUGAACGCAGGUGAGAGCUUCGGCGCAUCAUCGACCGAUCCUGAUGUUCUCGGAUGGAUUUGAGUAAGAGCAUAUAGGGUUGGACCCGAAAGAAGGUGAACUAUGCGUGUAUAGGGUGAAGCCAGAGGAAACUCUGGUGGAGGCUCGCAGCGGUUCUGACGUGCAAAUCGAUCGUCAAAUAUGCGCAUGGGGGCGAAAGACUAAUCGAACCUUCUAGUAGCUGGUUUCCGCGA